UGGUGGCUAGUAUGAAUGGAAAGACGAACUUCGCGCUGUCUCUACAAGUGACCUAAAAAUUAUCCUUUAAGUGAAGAGACUUAAAUAAGCAUAAAAGACAAAAAGACCCUGUAGAGCCUCAGUAGCACAUAAACAAACUGCUUUAUUUUUACUUUAGUUGGGGCGACUUAGGAAAACUAAAAUCUUCCUAUCCUUUACUCGGUUCAUACACCCAAACUAUUGAGCCACCCUCCGUGCACAAAAACAAGGCUACCUCAGGGAUAACAGUCUAAUCUUCCUUGAGAGUCCCCAUCGACAGGAAGGAUUGGCACCUCGAUGUUGGCUUAGGGCCCCUUUAUGGUGCAGCAGCCAUAACAGUAGGUUCGUUCACCCUUUAAUGCCCU
This 383-nucleotide ribosomal RNA is filed under the name Paraonides sp. 397 PB. RNAcentral's name for it is "partial 16S ribosomal RNA". It matches the Rfam family "Bacterial large subunit ribosomal RNA", at positions 1981 to 2597 of the family's 2925-position model. Lineage: Eukaryota; Metazoa; Annelida; Polychaeta; Paraonidae. The record is from RNAcentral.